Molecule: ribosomal RNA, 435 nt
Filed under: uncultured bacterium
Lineage: Bacteria
Description: bacterial SSU rRNA
Rfam family: Bacterial small subunit ribosomal RNA
Source: RNAcentral
CACGGCCUAACACAUGCAAGUCGAACGAGACCUUCGGGUCUAGUGGCGCACGGGUGCGUAACGCGUGGGAAUCUGCCCUUGGGUUCGGAAUAACAGCGAGAAAUUGCUGCUAAUACCGGAUGAUGACGUAAGUCCAAAGAUUUAUCGCCCAAGGAUGAGCCCGCGUAGGAUUAGCUAGUUGGUGGGGUAAAGGCCCACCAAGGCGACGAUCCUUAGCUGGUCUGAGAGGAUGAUCAGCCACACUGGGACUGAGACACGGCCCAGACUCCUACGGGAGGCAGCAGUGGGGAAUAUUGGACAAUGGGCGAAAGCCUGAUCCAGCAAUGCCGCGUGAGUGAUGAAGGCCUUAGGGUUGUAAAGCUCUUUUACCCGGGAUGAUAAUGACAGUACCGGGAGAAUAAGCUCCGGCUAACUCCGUGCCAGCAGCCGCGGUAA